This 493-nucleotide ribosomal RNA is filed under the name uncultured bacterium. Its description in RNAcentral is "partial 16S ribosomal RNA". It matches the Rfam family "Bacterial small subunit ribosomal RNA", at positions 28 to 507 of the family's 1533-position model. The record is from RNAcentral.
GACGAACGCUGGCGGCGUGCUUUAGGCAUGCAAGUCGAACGCGAAAGCCCCUUCGGGGGUGAGUAGAGUGGCGAACGGGUGAGUAACACGUGGGUAACCUGCCCCUCGCAGGGGGAUAACCGGGGGAAACCCCGGCUAAUACCCCGUACGCUGCUGGGGCGCAUGCUCCGGCAAGGAAAGGUAGCUUCGGCCAUCCGGCGAGGGAGGGGCCCGCGGCCCAUUAGCUAGUUGGUGGGGUAACGGCCCACCAAGGCGACGAUGGGUAGCUGGCCUGAGAGGGUGGUCAGCCACACUGGGACUGAGACACGGCCCAGACUCCUACGGGAGGCAGCAGCCAGGAAUCUUGCGCAAUGGGCGAAAGCCUGACGCAGCAACGCCGCGUGGGCGAUGAAGGCCUUCGGGUCGUAAAGCCCUGUUGUCGGGGACGAAGGGCGAAGGGUUAAUAGCCCCUAGCCUGACGGUACCCGACGAGGAAGCCCCGGCUAACUACGUG